Molecule: long non-coding RNA, 3882 nt
Organism: Peromyscus californicus insignis
Lineage: Eukaryota; Metazoa; Chordata; Mammalia; Rodentia; Cricetidae
Exons: 2
Source: RefSeq, a predicted model, not a curated record
UUCUUCCUAGCUGUGUUUUGUUCUGGACCUCUGGGUUCUCAAGGCAGUUGGGAACCAUAAAGCCCUUCUCUAACCUUGAGACUAGGGGCCGUGCCCUCUGGUCAGUCCCUAUAGACCUGGAGCGCAAUUGCACAGCUUUGUGGGCCAUGUCUGGGGAAUUCUGAUUUAUAAAACCUCCUGCAGAGCUGUAUGCAGCCAGCACUGUCCUGAGAGGAUGAAUCUGGAGAGCUCUAGAAAGGUAACCAUGACUCUUCAUUCUUCCACCACCGCAACAUCCAUCGGCAUGGCCACCACGACCAGCAGCCAGCCACGAGUGCUGCCGCUUAACCAACAUCUGGUGUCGUGACUCGGAUAGAUCAACAAGGACCUGCUGCUGCUUGCCGCCUCCUCCCCCAUUCAGCAAGACCUCAAGACUGUGAGCGUGCAUGCAUGCGAGCAUCCCUCGCCUCCUCUGGACCCCCACACAGUUACCACUACUGCUACCGCCAUGAUUCUUCACCACAGUGAGUGAGUCCGCCAUUCUCGCGGCUGUAGUCUGAGCUAUAUUCUUUGUGACGGACACUCCAGGGGUUGUCCUCGGGCUGUGCUGGCAAUGGCAGGCACAUUUUUGCUCCUGACGAGGGGGGUCAAUGCUGUCUCGGGUCCAACAGUGUACCAACUGCAGCACAGCCACAGCCUUCAUGAUCCCUUGAUGAAGAAGAUGGCUAACUUGAGCUGAUUCAUAUAUCUCUCCAUUCCUGGGGACGACUGAGAUUGGAGUCUGAUCCCGGUUUGUUAUUUUAAUUUUUUUUUAUUUUUCUCUUGGCUACAGCCAUGGGACAAAGGGAUGGAUACCAAUAAAUCUGGCUACAUAACAGCUUUAUGGGAACUUCUGCCAGCAAAUGGACAAAAGCCAUGGGACAAACGGGCGGGUACCGGUAAAUCUGGCCACAUAACAGUGUCUCAGGAACUUCUGCAAGCGAACAGGCGUAUAAAAGAGUUACUUUAUCCUCAAGCUUUCUGCUAAAGCUCUGAACCCUUCUCCCUCCCCAUUUCUGCCUCUGCCACAUGCAACCUUUUCUGUCUGACUUCCGCCGGCAGUGGGCAGGCUCAAAUGGGUGGGCUUGGGCGGUUUUUACAACUCCCCCUAACUCACCUUAACUCCACCCACUCAUUCUCAAACACCUUGAGAAGCAGAGACGGGUCUGGUAGCAGCUAAGAUCCAUGCAAAUAAGUGUACAAUAGUUAGGAUGGCUCUUAAGCCAAAAAUCAGCUUAUAGCCUCAGACAAGUCUGACAAAAGGGUCGGUUUAUAGUCUGCCUCCUGGCAGAUCUUCCAAACGCUGUCCUUAAGCCAACAAUCAUCAGAAAAAAAAGAAAAUUUCAGGACACGGAGUAAAAUCCAUCUCUUGUUCCACAGACCUCCGUGACUAAAACUUAAGCAUCUGGAGAGCAAGGCUCCUGACCCCACAGGCAAAAGAGUCAUCUGUGGCAUUUAAGGUGUACCAGGGAAGAGAUAAAACCCCAAAAACAAAAUUGCCAAGUGCUGGCACUCGCUGACUUCCGAAAGCUGUUGGGUCCCUGUUUUAAAUGAGGAAAAGGCCACGGGCUAGAGAAUGCCCUGCCAGGCCAUCAACAGCCUUGUUAAAAGUGCUGCCUAGAAAGACAACCAGUCAGCUGACUGCCCCCAGGUGCCAAGACGCAUGGGUACAUCAAGCUAAGACCUCCAGCAGACCUAGGCUUGGCUACAGACAUGACAGGGAACCCAGAACGCAGCAGGGAAGCAAUCUGCUUCUUUCCUUCUGGACACCAAAACCACUAAUUCGGUCCUGGAAGUUUUGGGAUGUCACCUCUCCUUUCUCUAUCGUCGGGUACAGAGGACAGCCUUACCUACCUCACCAGAUUUAAUUGUACUUUCAGAGUUACUUAAUGGAAAAAGAUUUCCAGCUAAGAUAAGAGCUCAUUGUCUUACUCCAGAUCUACUGCCUGUGUUUCUCACAGGCACACAGACAGGGCCCUAAUCUUUGCCUUGUCCCUAAUUCAAAAAAGUAAAUUCUCAUGCACCACAAGCUUUUCUCUUCCCAGUUCCCUGUUCUAACUCACUGUUCAGCUAAUGGUACAGGACCACCACAGAACUGGAGUCCAGAGAUCAUCAAAUAAGAAACUGUAACAGCUAAAACGUGUUUACACCCCCAGACCCAAAAGCGUCUGGGCACUACAAAAAAGACUUUAAUGUAAACAUCUAUUACUAUAAAAUGCUUUUAACAAUUGAUCACCUGUCUCCUGGAUACCAAACUAGUAAAGGAAAUAGAUGCUUUAAAAUAAUCUGUCUCUGAUAAAGCUUAACAUGUUUCAAAAUUCUUCCCAAGCUCCAGAAACAGGCUUAAAUCCAUCUCGACAGGCCAGAUCUACUUCAGAUAAGUGCCAACAUAAAAUAAUGAUGAUUCUUUUCUCUCUAAGCUUUUCUUCUGUGUCACCAGCAUCUUGUCAGACAGAAGGUUCCCAGCCACAGUCAAGAGGGAUACAUGUCUCCAGAACAAUGGAUGGCAGACAGUAUUCCACAACGCCUAUCUACCUUGGAGGAUUCCCCUUCUCCAUUCCCCCAAGAGCCAACUGAUGUCUAAUAGUCAGCUGGAAGCAGCUUUUGAGAGGAAUAACGCCCCUAUUCCCAUCUACCUGCUUUUUUUGUAAUAAGCAAAAGUCUGGGAUGUAAGGAUUAUGUCCUUAAUUAUGUCAUCAGCCUACAAUGGCAUCCCAGCCUAAAAAGCGGGCGUGCCCUCUCUGUGCCCUCUCUUUCCGUAUUCUUUCUCCUCUGUGUGCGCUCUCUCUCUCUCUCUCUCUCUCUCUCUCUCUCUCUCUCUCUCUCUCUCCUCCCCCCCCCCCCAUAAAGCUCUAGAAAGGUAACCAUGGCUCGUGAUUCUUCUGCCACCACAACAUCUGUCGGCAUGGCCGCCACAGGCAUCGGCCAGCCACGAGUGCCACUGCUUAACCAACAGAGGAGGAAACAGCUGGAGAGGUGCACUGGGAGAGGCUUUUGGAAAAGGGAGGGUUCCGAUAGAGGGAGAGGAGCAAGUGUCUUAGUAAAUAGAAUUACCCACAUGGUGGGAACCCAAAGCGGGUAGCAGGGAGGUGCCCACAUGGUGAGCACCCCAAAGUGGGUAGCAGGCUCCAGAAGCCAGAGAGAGAAUACUUACUGAAUAGCAGGGAGAGAUGGAUGGUUAGUUAAGGUGGGGGAAAGGAGCAAUUCUCGAAUCAAAUUUGGUGGGUGACAAAAGCCAGCAGACACAAAUGAUCCAUACAUACCUUAGGAGAAUUGGAUCUGCAGCUUGGUUCAGAGAGGCGAGUUCCCCAGAGGAAGCUCAAUUAUGCCCCUCCUGGCUUUUGACAACAGAUGAAUGAAAAAAAUAAAAAGGAAGGGCACUGACUGCUCCUAGGUAUGAAAGACCCUAACCCUUCAGGCUUACACCCCCAAGCCCCAGGAAUUAAGGAACUAAAAAGAAAACUAGUUCCAAGGGCAGCCUGACUCAGCCAUUACUCAAUCACCCCUGUAACAAUGUAACAAUGUAAAAAGAUUUCUGUUAAGAGAUGUGCUCAACUGUGUCUGGGAUAGUUGCAGGUGUUCCAGGAAGGACCACUGUGACCUUUGUGUAAACUCCACUCCCGCCCUGAUACCCCCCUUGAGGUUUCAGGAAGAAUGUACAUGCGGACGUGACUGUACCCACUCUGUGAUCAGACCAUGAUCUUGUGAAACGAAAUUGUAUGGGAAUUGUAAUCUUGUGGGUUUUGUGGGUUUUUCCUUUAAAAACCCCCAUAUGGCUGCAGUAAGAUGCGACUCUUGCUCUUAGGAGCAGAGUUUGCCCAUCUGUACAGUCACUUCAAUAAAAACCUCGUGCUGUUGCAUCAA